UACUUCGAUUUGAAGAAAGACACAAGAUUCUGAACUUGUUUUCUUCUUUAAAAAGUAGAUUUACUUAUUUUAUUUUUCAGUAUAUGGUUGUUUGCCUCUAUGGAUGUAUGAGGAGGUCAGAAGAGGGCAUUGGAUCCCCUGGAAGCGGAGGUCCCUUUCGUGCCUAAGAAGACAGUGACUUCCUAUGAGUGUCCGUUGGCGCUGUACCACCCUUGGGUGGUCCCCUCACCUCCUCACAGCUCUAUGACUGGUUCCUUCAGUUACCUUGGGAGAAUGAUCUUGGCUAUGGGUUCCUUGUUGAUUCAACUGGAACCUAGAGAAAAACCCCUCUAAAUGAAGAAACUCUCUCUAUAUAUAAGGUCCAAAUUCCUCCCUGAGUCGCUGCAAAAUUUUUUUCUGCUCUUCCAUCUGUCUGUGCCACCUCAGCGAAUGCCACUUUCAGAGAGAAAGAACCCCUGUUUGCUCAGCGUCUUGACGACUGCCUGCAGUCCAUCGAUCCCAUUUGAGCAAACCACGGACGGUCAGGGAGGCAUUCUGGUGCUGUCCCUUUAAGAAAAAAGAAAGGAAUCGCUCAGCCCCGCCCUACCGGACCCUGGGCCUGUGAAGUUCUGGAGUUUGAGGAUUUGCGAUAGAGCCAAGAUAAAAAGAAUUAAAAACAAAUUGAACUUAAAAAAAAAAAAAAGCAACAGCAAAAAUAUUUUUUUUGUUCCAAGUUCAUAGGCAUUUCUAUCCCAAGUUGCAGUGCCCCAGGGGGGAUAUGAACCAGGGUCACCCGUGGCCCCUUGUGGGCCUUCUCCCUAGCCCCGCCCCAAGCAUGGCAACCCUCGGAGAAGACGGGCGUUUGUCCCCGUCAGCUCCCCCUCCCCCCUCCAGCCACUCAUCUUUCCCCUUUAAACUGUUGGCUUCGUAAUGGUUUUCCUCCUGCUGCCAGGGGGCGAGAGGUGUAAAUGCCCGAGGAGCAGCUGCUGGUGAGCUCUCCAGUGCGGAUCCUGUGGGUGGGGCCGGCAGUAGGCAAGAGAGACCCAGAGAGAUUAGGUGAAACCUUAGCCGCGGCCUUCUGGACAUGGUCCAGUGUCUUUCAAUGAUUCCUUUGUGUGCUUUGGGUGCUGGGCUUGUUUGGCAGGGGACGGGCACCCAUUAGACGAUUUCACAAUGAUUUGCCAUGUUACAGUUCUAAACAUGUCAACUCAUCACCGAGGUUAAAUUUGUAUUUUUACAGUCGUUUUUUUAGACUCUCACACCGCCCCCCCCCCCACCGCAACACACCCUCCUCUCCCCGGGAGCUUCAGGGAAAAGUACUCUAAGAGAAUUAAUCAAAAUGACUAGGUAAUGCUCUAAAAAUAAUAAAUGUCGUUACAGGCUGGAUCCCUUUCAAGUUCGAGCUCAUUCUGAAAGCCUGAAGAUCCACAUGUCAAGUUUCAUGUAUAUUACUUUUUUAUUAGGAGGAAGUGCCCUAUUGUGUAGACACAGGUACAUUAUGAAGACACAUGGAUGUUACGACUCGCCCAUCACCACCGGGCUGGUUUUCAGCUAAGUUUAUUAAGCAACGUGGUUGAGGAGGGGGCAAAGGGCGGACACUGAACUCCUUACCCUCUCUUCUUAAACCAGACUUGCAAAUUAGGAUCUGCUACAGACGGGCUUGGGCUUGGAGCUCUGAACACAAGGGUAGCAGAGAUCCUGGUCCAGUUAGUGACAUGGUUUGGUUUCCCUCGCCCCACCCACUGGACAGUACUCCAGCUAGGCGAAGGCGUUAGAAAAUACAGAAAGACAGAUUGUUAGUGCAUGCAGACAACAGCAGCAGCAACAACCAAAUGAACAAGUAACUUUGUGGGCUUGUUGUUGUCGCCGUCGUCGUUUUGUUCUGUUUUUAGACAGAUUCCCCUAUUGUAAUCACCUGGCUUUGAACUUGAGAUCCUCCUGCCUCAACUACUCAAGUGCUUGAAUUACAGCUAUGUAACUGCUGUUAUCGUGGCUUCAAAAUAUUAACUCCAAAAGAAUGUGUGUGCAUGUGUGUGUGUGCGCAUGCUUGCAUGCAUGCAUGCUUUGUGUGUAUGUGUACUUGCAGGUGUGUGCGUGUGUACUCAUUCUAGAGUGUGUGGAGACCACAGGCUGACAUCAGGGGCCGUCCUUAACUGCUUUCUAACUUAGUUUUUGAGACAAGAUCUCAUGCUGAAACUGAAACUCACUGAUUUCGCUAGUCUGGCAGGCCAACAAGCCCCAGGAUCCACCCAUCUCUCUCUCUCUCUCUCUCUCUCUCUCUCUCUCUCUCUCUCUCUCUCUCUCUCUCUCUGUGUGUGUGUGUGUGUGUGUGUGUGUGUGCGCGCGCGCGCGCGCGCAUGCGCGUGCCAGGAUUGCAGUUGUGUGCUGCCAUCUGCAUGGGUGCUGGGAAUCUCAACUAAAUUCUCAAGCUUGCACAGCAAGGAAUUUACCUACUCAACGAUCUCUCCCGCCUCCCCCCCAUCCCAAGAAUGUUUUUUUAUAAAUGGGGGGCAGGGUAGCUUAAGGUACUUAAGGCCUUUAAGCAUGGCUGGAACAAGGUCAGUAAGACUUAAGGUGAGGCUGAGGGGGGAAAUCUGUGUCAGAGGAGAAAGGAAGUGGUGGUGAUGAGGUGGAUCCCUUUCCUUCUUUAACUGAUAAAGUCCCUGUUUUCCCGUGGGCCCUUCCAGCAAGUAGAUGCCCCCCAAGUAUCCAUGAGCAAGGGCCCUAACCAUCCGCAGUCCAUAGAUCAUUUGUCUGUGUCAGGCCGGGCUGCUAGGUCAGGGCGCUUGUGAUGAAGAAUAGGAGUGAGGAUUCCUGAGGCUUGACUGUGUGUGUUAUUUGUGCCCAAGUCGAAGCCUGGGGCUAAGUCACUAGGAUAUUUCCGACCUAAGAAAUGCCAUCUGGCCUGAGACUAUUCCUUAGAUAAUUCCAGGGCCUUCAUCCUCCAAAGAAAGGCUGGUUGCCGUGCUCUAAGUCCCGGCCUUCCUUAGCCGGCCUCCAUAAAUCAUGGCUGGCAGGAAAGACUGGAGGGUCAUGGGUAAUUGAAUUCCAACCAACCUUCACAUCUAAUUCAAGCCAACCCUCCGACUGGACUCUUUGCUGGAUUAAUCUGCUGUCAGAGCCGGUAAAUAACUAUUGUUUUUAAAUUCGAAGAAACCCAUUGUUGAGGGCCUACUGUGCAUGAGCUUCUUGAGAGGUGCGGUCAUCAUCCCAGCUCAUUCACUCCCCCCUCCCUCUUUCAUUCCUUCAUGCUGUCCACACUCCUACCAGAACCCAGACUUGAGAAGUUAUCUGGCAGUGGGGAGGAAAAUAAAGGUCAUCUUGGGGUCAUUCCUGCAGAAAACUUGUUCUCCGGACUCCCUAAGCUCCUGCUGGGGAGAUAGGUCAUUUACCAUGGGGACGCCGAAGCUGAUUCUGUGCAAGAAAACGGAUAAGGAUGUUUCAAAAACGUCAGUCCCCAGCCCCUGAAGACUCUUAUUCAAGUUCUUCGCCACCAUAUUUGAUGUGGGAUGUCAGGUCUGGGGGUUGAAGGGUUCUCACCUGUGAUGUGCUUGGGGGUGGGGGUGGAGAGGAGCUGUCCUCACCAACACUGCUUGGGAAGAGACCAGGGAGCUCUAGGUCCCUCACGCCUGUGACAUUACUGCUAAUGGCUGUCACUCUCUGUCGGGACUCAGCAGCCCCAGCCUCCGUGAUAGGCCUGCCUGGACACUAAGCCUGAGGCAGACAAUGCUUGUUCAAGAGUCCCUUCAGUGGAACUGUCUCCGGACUUCACUCCUUUGGAUGAUAGGAGGGCCCUGUGAUGUUGCCAGUGGCCUGGGGACCCCCGAGCAGCCCGGAAAGCAGUGUUUAGGUGGAAAUGUUAAUGGAAUUCUCCCUUGCUGCUGGGCUGUCCCUGGCAUUGCACAACGCGCAUGAACUGCCCUCCUUAGUCUCCAUGGAGAUUCCACGAGUCGUUAGCAGAGGAAACUCUGUCAGAAAGGUGAAGAAACGUGUCCGAGGUCCGAUGGCUCGUGAGCAGCGGAGUAAAGGUUCCAAAUAUGGCAGAUUGGUCCCAGCUGUUUUGAGAGAAAUCACAGGACCACACUUGUUCCAAGACCUCAAGUCUGGUCUUCUAGACUCUACAGAUGAGUUCAGGCAUUUUAUUUAGCUCUACAGCUGUCACUAUUGGAAUGGCUGCCAAGUCUCCCGGCCCGUCUUCCCUCCAAUUCUGUAUUUCUGUUUUAUCGAGAAGGUAUUUGCAUCCAACCCCGUGUGGUCACGACUAGGCUUCUUAAGUCAUCCCCACAGGCCUCUGCGUUGGACAGGUUCCUGACCUUUUCUGAACAGUCUACGACUUGAAAGCUUGUUCCAGAGAUACCUCAGCCUGCAAUGUUUCGGCCUGCAUCACACGUCUCACAAGAACAUGGAACAUGUUAAGUUGCAUUAUAAAGAAAAAAAAAGCAGAGAGAAUGCCGCCCGGAACGGUGCUGUCUACAUGCGGCGGCCAUCAUGACCGUCAUCACUGUUCCUCUGUUGAUGAUCAUCUUCUGCUUGCUAGCCACUUCCUCCUCGCGUCACUUCCUGGUACCGAGGGGAGCAUCUGACCUUCCGAACUGCUUUGUUGCCUUCAGUUUACUCCCCAGGCCCAGGGAGCUUCUGGAACACUGGACUGUUUAAGUGAUCCUUAAUACUUCUCGGUUCCCCGUCCGUCCAUUCAGCCCUCCGUAGCCCGUCAGCAACACACUUUUGACACUCCAGAGAAGCUGGAUCUGGGGCUGUAAACAGUGUUUUGAAACACUUCUAGAAUCAGUUCCGUGAAACUACAAGUGUUUUAUUCAAAUAAGUGCAACAGGCUGGCAAGAUGGUUUGCUAGGUGAAGGCAUUUGCUGCUCAGCCUCGCAACCUGAGUUCCCUCCCUGAAGCCACGGAGAAGCAGAAGGAACCAACAAUAUGACAUUGUUCUCUGACCUUCACACGCGUGUCAUGGCAUAGGUGACCCCUCCUACACUUCAUGCAGCAGACUUUAAAAUGUAAAUGAAGUCUCGUCUACAGAAAUAGUCCUCUGAAGAAUCGGAGUGGCUCUUCUUCCUUCUAGGGCUGUCACAGACACCACCUGAGUUAAUACCAAUAAGUUCUGAGAACUCAGCAGUGGGAGUGAUAACCAUAAACAAGGUCAUGGACAGUAGGAAGGAAUCAAAAAAGAAUAGGCCUCAGAGCCAGCGAGCUUUGAGGGGUGCUGAGGAGGGAAAGGUGGGCUUGACUCAGGGAGCAAUCCGGGCAAGGGGCACUUGAGAAAGCUGUGGUGAGGGGAAAAGGGAACCAAAGACUGAUGCUGGCUGCUUGAUA
Molecule: long non-coding RNA, 5304 nt
Organism: Alexandromys fortis (reed vole)
Lineage: Eukaryota; Metazoa; Chordata; Mammalia; Rodentia; Cricetidae
Exons: 9
Source: RefSeq, a predicted model, not a curated record